This 460-nucleotide ribosomal RNA is filed under the name uncultured bacterium. Its description in RNAcentral is "partial 16S ribosomal RNA". It matches the Rfam family "Bacterial small subunit ribosomal RNA", at positions 338 to 795 of the family's 1533-position model. The record is from RNAcentral.
CCUACGGGGAGCAGCAGUGAGGAAUAUUGGUCAAUGGGCGGGAGCCUGAACCAGCCAAGUCGCGUGAGGGAAGACGGUCCUAUGGAUUGUAAACCUCUUUAGGCGGGGAGCAAUGCCGGGCACGCGUGCCCGGAGGGAGAGUACCCGCAGAAUAAGCAUCGGCUAACUCCGUGCCAGCAGCCGCGGUAAUACGGAGGAUGCGAGCGUUAUCCGGAUUUAUUGGGUUUAAAGGGUGCGUAGGCGGAUUUUUAAGUCAGCGGUAAAAUGUCCGGGCUCAACCCGGGCCGGCCGUUGAAACUGGGGAGCUUGAGUGGGCGAGAAGUAUGCGGAAUGCGGGGUGUAGCGGUGAAAUGCAUAGAUAUCACGAAGAACUCCGAUUGCGAAGGCAGCAUACCGGCGCCCGACUGACGCUGAGGCACGAAAGCGUGGGGAUCGAACAGGAUUAGAUACCCGGGUAGUC